UGCCCGGUGGUGUAAUGGUAGCACACGAGAAUUUGGGUCUCGGCGUCAAGGUUCGAAUCCUUGCUGGGCAACCA
RNAcentral lists this transfer RNA (74 nucleotides) under Candidatus Omnitrophota bacterium. RNAcentral describes it as "tRNA-Gln". It matches the Rfam family "tRNA". From Rfam's summary of the family: Transfer RNA (tRNA) molecules are approximately 80 nucleotides in length. Lineage: Bacteria; Pseudomonadati; Candidatus Omnitrophota. The record is from RNAcentral.